CACGUAGGGUGCGAGCGUUGUCCGGAAUUAUUGGGCGUAAAGAGCUCGUAGGCGGUGUGUCGCGUCGGCCGUGAAAACCUGCAGCUUAACUGUGGGCUUGCGGUCGAUACGGGCAUCACUGGAGUUCGGCAGGGGAGACUGGAAUUCCUGGUGUAGCGGUGAAAUGCGCAGAUAUCAGGAGGAACACCGGUGGCGAAGGCGGGUCGCUGGGACGGUACUGACGCUGAGGAGCGAAAGCGUGGGGAGCGAACAGG
Molecule: ribosomal RNA, 254 nt
Filed under: uncultured bacterium
Lineage: Bacteria
Description: partial 16S ribosomal RNA
Rfam family: Bacterial small subunit ribosomal RNA
Source: RNAcentral